Non-coding RNA from Equus caballus (horse), 1174 nucleotides. The record is from RefSeq and is a predicted model, not a curated record. Lineage: Eukaryota; Metazoa; Chordata; Mammalia; Perissodactyla; Equidae.
UAAGGCAGGAAAUUUUGGACCAGAGAUUCAAGACCUGGUUGAGAAGGGUUGAGAGGAAAAGAAGUGGUGGAGAAGAAGAAUCUUCCAGGAAAACUGACUUUAAGUAGACUGCACAUCUGAAAUUCAGCUUAUGAAUAAGAAGUUGCAAGACACUUAGAAAAGUCAGAUGGCCCAGGGAAGGUGGGCAGUUCUAGCCCAACCAGGACUAUGCCUUGUCAUGUGUUACCUGUGUUUGUUUAUUAAGGUGUCCACUCAUUCGUCCAUUUACCAUUCAUUUAACAGUUAUUUAUUGAAGCACCUGUGGGAGAGUUCUUGCAGAAAAGAAUAGCUGGCUCUUAGUCUCUGACUCACCUUUUUCCUACUUUGCAAAAUACCAAUAGCAGCUACUAUUCAUUGAAUGCUUACAAGUGCCAGAGAGCAUGCUAGUAACCACAGGAUGUGGAUAUUACUACUUCUUAUUCACAUACAUAGAAACAAGGCUGGGAAAGGAACGUGCCCAAAGGCACAGAGCUAUCGGAGAAUGUAGCCAGGCUUGGAAAUGUGACUCCUGUGAUUUCUUCCCACUGAAAUACCUUUGAGAAAAAGAAAGACAAAAUCUCUCUAACUACCACUGAAAGCCAUCUGACCACCCCUGUUCUCAGGACAGGCGAGAACCUCUACUCGCAAUAAAGAUGAUGGAGCUGAGUAAGAAAAAACAGUAAGGAGUUACCCAAAGCCAAAUCGAGAAAGAAAUGAGAGCCCCUUCAAAUGGAAGCUGGUACUACCUCUGCUGAGUUGCAUAAGAAAGAACAGAAGGAAUGACUUCUCUCUACUCAUGGUCACAGCCACUUUUGAUUGGCCCCUUCUGGCAGGGCACAUGACUUGGGAUCACCUCUUCUUUCACAAGCAGCUCCCCUUGUAUGCAGCCAUGCAUCUGAGGUGGCCAAAGAGAAAAGGGUUGAGGAAAUGGUCAUAGGAGGGAAGUUUCUAGAAGUGGAAGUGUUAUUUGUUGGCUUUCUGAAUAAAGCUAAUAAAAUCUACAGGUAUUGGACUCCCAACUUGGAUAUAAGAGGGGAUUCUUUGUCACACUCUAAGAACUGACGCUGAGAUACUGUGGGUAGGAGACGAUCUGGCAAUUUUUCUGAAGCAAUUGCCUUAGAAAUGUAAAUUACUAAUAAAGCUAUUUUUAUUUGUC